AAAACAAAAUUAUAUUGAUAAUAAAGAGUUUUAUAUAUAGAUAUAUAGAUAGUUCAUCUAUAAAUAGGCUUAUACAUUUAGUGUGAUAAUUUAGUGUCACCUUCAUCCUCAGUGUUCAGUCUGAUCCAUGUAGAAUCCGGUUUGGCCUAGCUUCAAUAAGUAGC
Molecule: long non-coding RNA, 164 nt
Organism: Haliotis rubra (blacklip abalone)
Lineage: Eukaryota; Metazoa; Mollusca; Gastropoda; Lepetellida; Haliotidae
Exons: 3
Source: RefSeq, a predicted model, not a curated record